GGCGUGCCUAAUACUGCAAGUCGAACGAGUUCUCGUUGAUGAUCGGCGCUUGCACCGAGAUUCAACAUGGAACGAGUGGCGGACGGGUGAGUAACACGUGGGUAACCUGCCCUUAAGUGGGGGAUAACAUUUGGAAACAGAUGCUAAUACCGCAUAGAUCCAAGAACCGCAUGGUUCUUGGCUGAAAGAUGGCGUAAGCCAUCGCUUUGGAUGGACCCGCGGCGUAUUAGCUAGUUGGUGAGGUAAUGGCUCACCAAGGCGAUGAUAGGUAGCCGAACUGAGAGGUUGAUCGGCCACAUUGGGACUGAGACACGGCCCAAACUCCUACGGGAGGCAGCAGUAGGGAAUCUUCCACAAUGGACGCAAGUCUGAUGGAGCAACGCCGCGUGAGUGAAGAAGGCUUUCGGGUCGUAAAACUCUGUUGUUGGAGAAGAAUGGUCGGCAGAGUAACUGU
This 454-nucleotide ribosomal RNA is filed under the name bacterium Urffh2. RNAcentral's name for it is "bacterial SSU rRNA". It matches the Rfam family "Bacterial small subunit ribosomal RNA", at positions 41 to 468 of the family's 1533-position model. The record is from RNAcentral.